UCAGAAGUGCGAAUGCUGACAUAAGUAACGAUAAAGCGGGUGAAAAGCCCGCUCGCCGGAAGACCAAGGGUUCCUGUCCAACGUUAAUCGGGGCAGGGUGAGUCGACCCCUAAGGCGAGGCCGAAAGGCGUAGUCGAUGGGAAACGGGUUAAUAUUCCCGUACUUGGUGUUACUGCGAAGGGGGGACGGAGAAGGCUAUGUUGGCCGGGCGACGGUUGUCCCGGUUUAAGCGUGUAGGUGUGUGUUCCAGGUAAAUCCGGUUCACUUUAACACUGAGGCGUGACGACGAGGCACUACGGUGCUGAAGCAACAAAUGCCCUGCUUCCAGGAAAAGCCUCUAAGCAUCAGGUAACAUCAAAUCGUACCCCAAACCGACACAGGUGGUCAGGUAGAGAAUACCAAGGCGCUUGAGAGAACUCGGGUGAAGGAACUAGGCAAAAUGGUGCCGUAACUUCGGGAGAAGGCACGCUGACACGUAGGUGAAGUGAUUUACUCAUGGAGCUGAAGUCAGUCGAAGAUACCAGCUGGCUGCAACUGUUUAUUAAAAACACAGCACUGUGCAAACACGAAAGUGGACGUAUACGGUGUGACGCCUGCCCGGUGCCGGAAGGUUAAUUGAUGGGGUCAGCGCAAGCGAAGCUCCUGAUCGAAGCCCCGGUAAACGGCGGCCGUAACUAUAACGGUCCUAAGGUAGCGAAAUUCCUUGUCGGGUAAGUUCCGACCUGCACGAAUGGCGUAAUGAUGGCCAGGCUGUCUCCACCCGAGACUCAGUGAAAUUGAACUCGCUGUGAAGAUGCAGUGUACCCGCGGCAAGACGGAAAGACCCCGUGAACCUUUACUAUAGCUUGACACUGAACAUUGAGCCUUGAUGUGUAGGAUAGGUGGGAGGCUUUGAAGUGUGGACGCCAGUCUGCAUGGAGCCGACCUUGAAAUACCACCCUUUAAUGUUUGAUGUUCUAACGUGGACCCGUUACCCGGGUUGCGGACAGUGUCUGGUGGGUAGUUUGACUGGGGCGGUCUCCUCCUAAAGAGUAACGGAGGAGCACGAAGGUUGGCUAAUCCUGGUCGGACAUCAGGAGGUUAGUGCAAUGGCAUAAGCCAGCUUGACUGCGAGCGUGACGGCGCGAGCAGGUGCGAAAGCAGGUCAUAGUGAUCCGGUGGUUCUGAAUGGAAGGGCCAUCGCUCAACGGAUAAAAGGUACUCCGGGGAUAACAGGCUGAUACCGCCCAAGAGUUCAUAUCGACGGCGGUGUUUGGCACCUCGAUGUCGGCUCAUCACAUCCUGGGGCUGAAGUAGGUCCCAAGGGUAUGGCUGUUCGCCAUUUAAAGUGGUACGCGAGCUGGGUUUAGAACGUCGUGAGACAGUUCGGUCCCUAUCUGCCGUGGGCGCUGGAGAACUGAGGGGGGCUGCUCCUAGUACGAGAGGACCGGAGUGGACGCAUCACUGGUGUUCGGGUUGUCAUGCCAAUGGCACUGCCCGGUAGCUAAAUGCGGAAGAGAUAAGUGCUGAAAGCAUCUAAGCACGAAACUUGCCCCGAGAUGAGUUCUCCCUGAGACUUA
RNAcentral lists this ribosomal RNA (1559 nucleotides) under Salmonella enterica subsp. enterica serovar Enteritidis. RNAcentral's name for it is "partial 23S ribosomal RNA". It matches the Rfam family "Bacterial large subunit ribosomal RNA", at positions 1282 to 2824 of the family's 2925-position model. Lineage: Bacteria; Pseudomonadati; Pseudomonadota; Gammaproteobacteria; Enterobacterales; Enterobacteriaceae. The record is from RNAcentral.